This 810-nucleotide ribosomal RNA is filed under the name Pseudomonas aeruginosa. Its description in RNAcentral is "bacterial SSU rRNA". It matches the Rfam family "Bacterial small subunit ribosomal RNA", at positions 100 to 905 of the family's 1533-position model. Lineage: Bacteria; Pseudomonadati; Pseudomonadota; Gammaproteobacteria; Pseudomonadales; Pseudomonadaceae. The record is from RNAcentral.
GACGGGUGAGUAAUGCCUAGGAAUCUGCCUGGUAGUGGGGGAUAACGUCCGGAAACGGGCGCUAAUACCGCAUACGUCCUGAGGGAGAAAGUGGGGGAUCUUCGGACCUCACGCUAUCAGAUGAGCCUAGGUCGGAUUAGCUAGUUGGUGGGGUAAAGGCCUACCAAGGCGACGAUCCGUAACUGGUCUGAGAGGAUGAUCAGUCACACUGGAACUGAGACACGGUCCAGACUCCUACGGGAGGCAGCAGUGGGGAAUAUUGGACAAUGGGCGAAAGCCUGAUCCAGCCAUGCCGCGUGUGUGAAGAAGGUCUUCGGAUUGUAAAGCACUUUAAGUUGGGAGGAAGGGCAGUAAGUUAAUACCUUGCUGUUUUGACGUUACCAACAGAAUAAGCACCGGCUAACUUCGUGCCAGCAGCCGCGGUAAUACGAAGGGUGCAAGCGUUAAUCGGAAUUACUGGGCGUAAAGCGCGCGUAGGUGGUUCAGCAAGUUGGAUGUGAAAUCCCCGGGCUCAACCUGGGAACUGCAUCCAAAACUACUGAGCUAGAGUACGGUAGAGGGUGGUGGAAUUUCCUGUGUAGCGGUGAAAUGCGUAGAUAUAGGAAGGAACACCAGUGGCGAAGGCGACCACCUGGACUGAUACUGACACUGAGGUGCGAAAGCGUGGGGAGCAAACAGGAUUAGAUACCCUGGUAGUCCACGCCGUAAACGAUGUCGACUAGCCGUUGGGAUCCUUGAGAUCUUAGUGGCGCAGCUAACGCGAUAAGUCGACCGCCUGGGGGAGUACGGCCGCAAAGGUUAAAACUCAAU